AUUGAACGCUGGCGGCAGGCUUAACACAUGCAAGUCGAACGAUGAAACUCUAGCUUGCUAGAGAUGAUUAGUGGCGGACGGGUGAGUAACAUUUAGGAAUCUGCCUAGUAGUGGGGGAUAGCUCGGGGAAACUCGAAUUAAUACCGCAUACGACCUACGGGUGAAAGGGGGCGCAAGCUCUUGCUAUUAGAUGAGCCUAAAUCAGAUUAGCUAGUUGGUGGGGUAAAGGCCUACCAAGGCGACGAUCUGUAACUGGUCUGAGAGGAUGAUCAGUCACACCGGAACUGAGACACGGUCCGGACUCCUACGGGAGGCAGCAGUGGGGAAUAUUGGACAAUGGGGGCAACCCUGAUCCAGCCAUGCCGCGUGUGUGAAGAAGGCCUUUUGGUUGUAAAGCACUUUAAGCAGGGAGGAGAGGCUAAUGGUUAAUACCCAUUAGAUUAGACGUUACCUGCAGAAUAAGCACCGGCUAACUCUGUGCCAGCAGCCG
This 490-nucleotide ribosomal RNA is filed under the name uncultured bacterium. Its description in RNAcentral is "bacterial SSU rRNA". It matches the Rfam family "Bacterial small subunit ribosomal RNA", at positions 30 to 517 of the family's 1533-position model. The record is from RNAcentral.